AGCGGAGGAAAAGAAACUAACUAGGAUGCCCUUAGUAACGGCGAGCGAACCGGGCAAAGCCCAACUUGAAAAUCUCCAGCCUCCGGCUGGCGAAUUGUAGUCUAUAGAAGUGCUCUCUGCCUCAGUCCGGCCCCAAGUCCCCUGGAAAGGGGCGUCAGAGAGGGUGAGAACCCCGUUGGGACUGGAUCCUGAGGCUCCACGAGACGCUUUCGAAGAGUCGGGUUGUUUGGGAAUGCAGCCCAAAGCAGGUGGUAAAUCCCAUCUAAGGCUAAAUACAGACGGGAGACCGAUAGCGAACAAGUACCGUGAGGGAAAGAUGAAAAGAACUUUGAAAAGAGAGUUAAAAAGUGCUUGAAAUUGUUGAGAGGGAAGUGAUUAGAUCCUACGGGUGCGCCCAGGCACACGUCUGCCUAACGGUUGGCUGAAUGCGCUGGGUGCUGGUCAGCAUGGGUUGACCGGGCGGGACAAACCCGGGGGUUGUUACCUCGGCUAUGUCGCCUGGUCGAUCGAGGAAAGAAUGGCGCUCUCUGAGUCCUUCGGGAACUGCGUCAUCAAGAUGCUGGCGGAAAGGUUCUAAUCAGCCCGUCUUGAAACACGGACCAAGGAGUCUAACAUGCAUGCGAGCUGGUGGGUGGCAAACCCAUGAAGCGCAAGUAACCUGACUGGUGGGAUGGCCUGUGCCUGCACCAUCGACCGACCAUGAUCUUCUGUGAAAGGUUCGAGUACGAGCAUGCCUGUUGGGACCCGAAAGAUGGUGAACUAUGCCUGAGCAGGGCGAAGCCAGAGGAAACUCUGGUGGAGGCUCGUAGAUGUGCUGACGUGCAAAUCGCUUUUCGGACUUGGGUAUACGGGGCGAAAGACUAAUCGAACCUUCUAGUA
This 879-nucleotide ribosomal RNA is filed under the name Micractinium reisseri. RNAcentral describes it as "eukaryotic LSU rRNA". It matches the Rfam family "Eukaryotic large subunit ribosomal RNA", at positions 49 to 949 of the family's 3401-position model. Lineage: Eukaryota; Viridiplantae; Chlorophyta; Trebouxiophyceae; Chlorellales; Chlorellaceae. The record is from RNAcentral.